UUGCUUCCACAGCAUAUAUACUAAAAUUGGAACUAUUCAUAGAAGAUUAGAAUGGCCCCUGUGCAAAGAUGCCAUGCAAAUUCAUGAAGUGUUCCAUAUUUUU
Molecule: small nuclear RNA, 103 nt
Organism: Gracilinanus agilis (Agile Gracile Mouse Opossum)
Lineage: Eukaryota; Metazoa; Chordata; Mammalia; Didelphimorphia; Didelphidae
Source: RefSeq, a predicted model, not a curated record